GCUGAGAGUUUAGACGCUUUCUUAUGCUCCUUUAAUUAAUUCUUGGCCUCUGUCUAGGUUUGAUGAGUACCUUGUGCUAUUUUGGUCUUAGAUAAUCAGAUUCUGGUAAUAAGCCGUCACAAUUUUUAUUUGCAAGAUCCUGCCAUGUUAUUCUAACUGAACUGUUUACGUCAGUUUUACUCCCUCCGUUUCUUUUUACCCCGCAUAUAAGAUUUGUCUGAAGUCAAACUUUGUAAAGUUUGAUGGCUACUUUGUGCUAUUUUGGUUUGUGAUGAUCAGAUUCUGGUAAUAAGCCGUCACAGUUUUUCUUUGCAAGACCCUGCCAUGUUGUUCUGACUGAGCUUUUCUACUUCAGUUUUGCUGUGUAGUAGUGCAUCUUGAUAUCAUGUUUGAACUGAAAGCAUUAAUGUAUUUCCCUUGAAAUGAUGCUUAUGCUGAAAGUAUGCUGGCAGGGUUACUAGAAAAAUGGCUUCAGGCCAUAAUACUUGUUAUUGCUUCAGUUCUGGGUUGUUGCAUCAGUCUGUUAAGUAAUUACCUUGUUUGUUAAACAGCGGUGAGCAUGCCAAAUAGGGGCAUUUUGGGACAUGCUAAAUGCAACUGAAAGAACUAUGUUAUCUGUGUGUUGUUGUGCUUUAUUUCUCCUUCCCGUGGCCCCUGUACUUCUGGUUCACUUGAACCCUAUUUAACAUCCCCACCUCUGAACCCUUUCUAGAAUAGUAAUCUGUGUUACAGCCUCUUGUUUUUGCUGUUCCUUUAUCUCCUUUCAUGUUUUCAUAUGCCCUCAAUGAUUAUUUCCUGUGGGAUCUGAUUGUCAAAAGUACCUAGCUUUGCUGUGUCAUAUACUUAUGAGAAAAUUGAGAUUGUUACUAGAGAAAGAUCUAAUGCCAUGUCAUGUUUACUUUGUCGAACUUCCGAGGGUCAGGUCUCGGGAGUUUUGUUAUGUGCAAAUGGAAGUCAUAGUUAUCUAGAUAGAUAGAUAUAUUUUCUCUCGUUGGCAAGUUAAAAGGCCCACAUAGAUUUCGGCAUCAUCUGCUAUAUAUGUUCAGGUCAUCUCUUCCCUAAGCCAUGGUGAGCUACAUGGAGCAUCUGAAUUUCGGCACUCAGUUAUUUUUGACAUUUCGCUCUGCUUAGAGGUUGUCUUGAUGGGGUACUGUCUUGUUAGCUUCUCUCUACUUGAUGCAUUUGUUUUGAACUGAGUCAAAUUUGUCAUAUUUGUUUACCUGUGCCCUGUGCUACGAUUUCUCUGCUACCUUAAGCAUCUCUUGAAACCGCUUCAUCAUUCAGAUUUACAUAAAGGGCCAGGUGUUGUCUUUUCUUGAACGAAAAAACUAACGCCCAUGUGGCAUCUUACACAUCGCCCACACGCCUCCAUCACCACUCAUUUUGCCACGUAUAAACAGAUGACAUCAGCAGGAAUCUUUUAGGUUUUCGGCUUAAAAAUAUUUUAUCUCCUAAUUAAAAAAUUGAGUUAAAAAUCCAUUUUCACCAUUAAAUCCAUCUCGACAAGAUCUUCAAAACUAGAUCCCAUGUUGAUAUGUUUUGACGAAUUUGUUUUGCCCAAAAGUUGCCAUGAUGUUCACACUAUAGUUGCCAUAGUGCUUAAACUAAAGUUGCCAUGUGGCAAUUUUAGUUGGUAGAGUAUGGCAAUUUUAGUUUUUUUUAUGAUGGCAAUUCCAGUACUUUGACCAUAAAAAAUAUUUUUUGUAUGAACCAUGGCAAUUUUAAGUGCAUGUAUCAUGGCAAUUUUAGUUUAUGGUUCAUGCCAAGUCUAGUUUCCUAAUUCCCCGUUUUAUAAUAUGUCAAAAUUUUACUUUUAAAUUAGAAAAAAAAUAGUUAAAACGUAUUGUGACAACUUCAGUGUAAACAUCAUGGCAUUUCAUGUGCAAUAGACAUGACAACUUUUAACCCCCAAAAAAAAUUCGCCGAAAUAUAUUGAUAUGAGAUCUAGUUUCAAAGAUCUCGCCGCGAGGGACUUAAUGGUGAAAACGGAUCUUCAAUCAGACUUUUUAUUUAAGAGAUAAAAUAUUUUAAAAAUUGAAAAUCUAAAAAGAUUCUCACAUACAUGCAUACGGUGACGUGGCGCAGUCUGUGUGUUAUAGGGUGUGUUGGCGGGUUUGCCUCCCACCACAUGUGUGGGCGUUAGCGUGAUUUUUUUUCAAAACUAUGAUAUAUUAUAUAGCAUUUUCGGAAACUAUAGCACGUAAUGCAAAAAACCAAAAGUAGCAGCCCGUCGGCCCGGUGUUGGCCGAAGAGGCACUUUUCGGUCACAGUUUGGCCGAAGUGGGCUUUUCGGCCCGCGGUUGACCGAAGAAACGCGUAGCUGGGCCAAAACCGAGCGUCGGCGGAGGGCGGGCCGAAAAUAGUAGCUUCGGCCUGGCGGCGACCGAAGUGGGCCUUUUCGGCCAGGCAGCGGCCGAAGAGCCUUUUCGGCCUCCCAUCGACCGAAAAGUAGCGGAUAAGGCCCCGCACGGCGUCUCCUUCCUCUCGCAUGUUCGCCUCUGUUCUUCUUUCUCUCUCUCGUUUCUUCUCUAUACCUCACCACCCCUAGCUGAUCUCCUCUGUUUGCCACCCAUUUUCACAUUGAAGCCACAUAAUCGGUAGAUCGUAGCAAUCCCAAAUGGCCUACGGUGUUUUUUUUGCUAUGGGAUAGUUUUCUGUGCGUUUGUGGAGGAGUAGCCAUGGUGGGGAGGAGGAGGUGCGGUUGGGCAGGAGGUGUUGAUGAGGAGGAGCAGGAGUUGUGGGGGAGCAGCAGCUGUGGAGGAGGAGGUGCGGCUUGGGGGUGACUGGAGUUGAACCUCCGGUCGUCGAGGGGGCGGCGGUGGUGCUGUCGUUGUUCGGUGGUGCAAGCACCUCCGCUAAGGUAUAAUCAUGUCCUCACAAAUUUUCUCUGAGUUGCAUAGUUUAGUUAGUGUAGAUAAGUUAUAUUGCGAAUUGUAGUGUUAAUUUGUAUGUGGUGGCAUUUUAGCGGAGUAAUAAUUGUGUUAGUGUAGCGGAAUAAUAAUAAUUGUGUUAGUGUAGCGGAUAAUAAAAAUUGUGUUAGUGUUAAUUUGUAUGUGGUGGCAUUUUAGCGGAUUUUAGUUAGUGUAGCGGGUAAUAUUAGUGUUCGUUGUGAUUAAUGAGAAGAUGACAAUGUCUGACAGGUGAAAAUGUCUGAAUCAGUAAAUCUGAAUGUUUACUAUGACGCUGGUAAUGUUCGAUAUAAUGAGUUGGGGGUUGAUCUUAGCGAGUUUAAAAAUGGGGUCAUGACACUAGCAGACCCGGACAGACUGGACAUUAGACAGUUGAAGUAUUGGUUGACAACUAGUUUCGGGCUGGAUCCUGAAGUAUGUUACGUCAGUAUUCAUGCGUUGUGGACCAAAUCUUGUAAAAAUGUCAAGUGGGAGUUGAUGCCGAUAGAUAGGAGCCAGCAUUGGUUGUCCUUGUUAAGAUGGUGCCGAGACCGAAGAAUCCACCCAUAUGCACUUGUGCAACCUGUGCCGAAGGAGGAGAAUACUGUACAACUCCAUAGGGGGUAUGAACCCGGCCAGGGCAGUGAAGUGUCUAACGAGAUUAUUUUAUCCGGGUCACAACCACAAGAUGUGGAUGCUAGCCAACCCGAGAAAGAGUCAGACUACGUGCCACACAAUGUUUGUGGUCAUGAUACUGGGAAGAGUAGCCAGUCGAUAAUAUUAGCUGGUUAUGGUUUUGCUGAUGGGGAUGAGGAAGGGGAUGAAAUGCAGAGAGUGAUGGAGGAAGAGGACGAGGAUGGAUUGGUGGAGGAACUAGAUUCUGAAAAUUCUGAGGAUGAAGUGGAGGUACCGAUUCCUUCUGCAUGCGAGCAAGACAUAUCCACCGGCCUUACAGUCAAUGAUGGCCAUGAGACUCCAUGGCAGUAUAAUCUGAACCAAGUACAAAUAGGGGCUAUGUUUGAUACAAAGAAAAAAUUGAAGUAUGCGGUGAUAAAGUGGGCUAUAUCUACGCAGAGGAUUUUCCGGACACACAUAUCAAGUCCAACAAACUAUACCAUAAAAUGUGUUGAAACAGGUUGUCCAGGGAAGGUGCACGGGCACGUGCCGAAGUAUGACAUCCACUGGGUUCUCACCAUUGUCGUCCCACAUAAUUGUGUGAGGAAGAACCUGCUGGUGAAGCAUCCAAACCUGACUUCAAAUCUCAUUGCGCAACUCAUGUGUACUAAGAUAGUAGAGAAGAAAGAUAUAGAAGCAAAAACAUCCAGACAGCAGUGAAGGUCAGAUGGAAUUAUGUCAUUCCUUAUGGGAAGGCUUGGAGGGCUAAGCAGAAGGCUAUGGAGGAAAGGUUUGGAACGUUCUUCGACUCAUAUGAUAAUGUUGUUCGUCUCCUUGGCAUACUGAAGGAGAGGAAUCCAGGCACUUAUGUGAACGUACAACACAUGAGGUUGCUGAGUAUACCAGAUUUCAAGGUGUUGAAACGAGUGUUCUUCUCUUUUGCUAUGUGCAUCGAAGCUUUCCGGCAUUGUCCUCCUGUUAUGUUUGUGGAUGGUACAUUCCUGACCGGUCAGUAUAGAGGGCAAAUCCUGACUGCUAUUGGUGUGGACGGGAACAACCAAAUCAUCCCACUUGCUAUGGCAUUUGUGGAGGGUGAGAACUUUCCCAGUUGGGUAUGGUUCUUCCGCCAAGUGAAAAUUGCCAUCGUGAAGGACCGACCAAACGUGUGUGUCAUUCAUGACAGACAUGCUGGUAUAUUGAAGGCCGUGAAGACACUUCGUAAUCCAACAGAUGACGAACUAACACCUUGGAGGGACUUGCAGAGCUGGUGGUGCAUGCGCCAUCUUGGGGCUAAUUUUUUCUCACAGUUCAAGAACAAGCGGUUGAUGAACUUGUUCAAAAAAUUAUGCAAGCAGAGCCAGCAGCGCAAAUACGGAUUUAUUUGGUCAAAACUAGAUGAGUUUACUAAGAAGCAGGUCCGUGCGAGGAAGAAAAUGGAAGAAGAUCAUGUUAAAUUAGCAGCACUCGUCGCGGAGCUAGAGGAGCCAGUAGGUCUUUGUGACUUGCCAGCAAUUGACCCUCCUAAUGCUAAGAGAAAGAAGGGAAGGGCAAUAAAGAAUUUUUCUGAGUGGAUAGAGAAAGCGCCCACAGUGAAUUGGUCUUUUCUGCAUGACACACAUGGAGCUAGGUAUGGCCACAUGACAACCAAUCUUGCAGAGGUGUAUAACUUUGUGCUGAGAGGGAAUAGAGCAUUGCCACAGCUAUUGUGGAGGCUGUAUUCCAUGGCACUUUGAGAUAUUUCAGAGAAAGGCACGAGUUAGCAAAGAAGCAUAUUGAAGAUAAUCAGAACACACCUUAUUGUAGCCAUGUCAUGGAAUACAUGGCAAAGAAGAUAGAUAAAGCAAAGAAGCACACUGUGAGACUCAUAGGGAAUGAAGAAAGGAGGCAUGAGGUUCAACUUCCUACCAAUGGUUUUGGUUCUGGACAUGAGGUGAAGACACACGAGGUAAAAAUUGGAACGGAAUUUUAUCCAACGUGUGAGUGUACUUGCAACAAACCGAAGUUGUUGCACCUACCUUGCUCUCACGUGUUGACUGCCUGUGGCCAAAUUGAGUUGGAUGCUAUCUCCUUCGUGUCCCCAUACUAUUUAAAAGAGGCAGUGCUCAACACAUGGAUAGGUGAGAUGACAGGGUUUAGAGUCGUCGGCAAUUUCAACAAGGUAAACGACGGUGAGAGAGUAUACAUCCCGCAUCCAGACCUUCGGCGAACAAGUAGGGGCAGACGAAAGGCCCGUCGCAUACGAAAUGAUAUGGACCAAUCUGAAGCUGGUGGAGCAACCAGACAAUGUUUGUUAUGCGCGGCUUAUGGGCAUAGGAUGAAAUAUUGUCCCGACCUGAACAAAGAUGGUGCUUCCGCAUCGACGAGUGCUUCCACAUCAACGGCUGCGACAACAGGAGCAAGAGGCGGACGUGGUCGUGGCAGUCGAGGCCGAAGGGGCGGACGAGGAAGAAAUAACUCACAAGCUAUAUAAUGUGUCGUACUGUGUUUCAAUAUGUAAUAAGUCAGGACUAUGUUUUAAUUUGUAAUAUGUCAGGACUAUGUUUUAAUUUGUAAUAUGUCAGGACUAAGUUUUAAUUUAUAAUAUGCCAGGACUAUGUUUUAAUUUGUAAUAUGUCAGAACUAUGUUUAAUUUGUAGUAUGACGUACUACGUUUUAAUUUGUAAUAUGUUUGUACUAUGUUUUAUUUGCACCUGAGAUUUGUUGUUUGAAUUGCAGAUAUGUCUUCGUAUCCGUUGCUUAAUGGUAACAUCGAUAGAAAGCACCGGGGCGCCCUUAUGGAAGCGGGCAACAACUUAGACGUGUUGGUCACUCGUACCCCAAAGACUAACUGGAUGAUACACGAGUCAUGGGUUGAUAGGUUAGUGUGCAUAUAAUGGAAUCCAUAUAAUGACUUAUUAUGUUUGUCAUAAUUUUCAUAGCCGCUAACAAACUCUUUAUUUUGUAGGUUAAAUUGGCUGGACUUCUACCCUUGGCACGACUGGUUGAGGGCAUUGGAUGAGUGGGUUGAUGGUCCGGACUUAGAUGAGGCAGGUGAACCAUUGCAGUUACACAAGAGGCAAGUGAAACGUUUCUCUUACAACAAGUCACUCCUUACCUGCUUAGUAGAUAGAUGGAGACCAGAGGUACAUACGUUUCACUUUCCUUGGGGAGAGAUGGCACCGACUUUACAAGAUGUGUCUUACUUGUUGGGAUUACCUCUGGCUGGUGCUGCCAUAGGUCCCUUAGAGGCAGAAUCUGGUUGGCAAACAGUGAUGUAGACCCGUUUUUUGGCUGCGGUGCCGACUGCUAGGGCCAUAGACAACGAUCCUCACGGGCCUCUUUUUAGAUGGUUGAGCCAGUUUCAGGUAACCUUCACGGCCACUUAAACAAAUGGUAUUUUUUUAGUUCCCUGCUACCUCUUGAGCACCGCGUUGGAUUUCCCCGAAGAGGAGAGGAUGAUGCAGCAAAGUAGUGUAAGUAUUUCCCUCAGUUUUUGAGAACCAAGGUAUCAAUCCAGUAGGAGGCUACGCUCAAGUCCCUCGUACCUGCACAAAACAAUAGCUCAACGCAACCAACGCGAUUAGGGGUUGUCAAUCCCUUCACGGUCACUUACGGGAGUGAGAUCUGAUAGAGAUGAUAGAUAAUAUAUUUGGUAUUUUUGGUAUAGAGAUGACAAGUGAAAAGUAAAAGGCAAAGUAAAAAAGCAAAGCAAGAUUAAAGUGAUGGAGAUUGAUAUGAUGAGAAUAGACCCGGGGGCCAUAGGUUUCACUAGUGGCUUCUCUCAAGAGCAUAAGUAUUCUACGGUGGGUGAACAAAUUACUGUUGAGCAAUUGACAGAAUUGAGCAUAGUUAUGAGAAUAUCUAGGUAUGAUCAUGUAUAUAGGCAUCACGUCCGAAACAAGUAUACCGACUCCUGCCUACAUCUACUACUAUUACUCCACUCAUCGAACGCUAUCCAGCAUGCAUCUAGAGUAUUAAGUUAAAAACGGAGUAACUCCUUAAGCAAGAUGACAUGAUGUAGAGGGAUAGUUUCAUGCAAUAUGAUAAAAACCCCAUCUUGUUAUCCUCGAUGGCAACAAUACAAUACGUGCCUUGCUGCCCCUUCUGUCACUGGGAAAGGACACCGCAAGAUUGAACCCAAAGCUAAGCACUUCUCCCAUGGCAAGAAAAACCAACCUAGUAGGCCAAACCAAACUGAUAAUUCGAAGAGACUUGCAAAGAUAACCAAUCAUACAUAAAAGAAUUUAGAGAAGAUUCAAAUAUUAUUCAUAGAUAGACUUGAUUAUAAACCCACAAUUCAUUGGUCUCAACAAACACACCACAAAAAUAAGAUUACAUCAAAUAGAUCUCCACGAGAGAGGGGGAGAACAUUGCAUUGAGAUCCAAAAAGAGAGAAGAAGCCAUCUAGCUAAUAACUAUGGACCCAUAGGUCUGAGGUGAACUACUCACACUUCAUCGAAGGGGCUAGGAUGAUGUAGAAGCCCUCCGUGAUGACGGCCCUCUCCGGCGGAGCUCCGGAACAGGCCCCAAGAUGGGAUCUUGUGGGUACAGAAGGUUGCGGCGGUGGAAUUAGGAUUUUGGCUCCUUAUCUGAUCGUUUGGGGGUACGUAGGUAUAUAUAGGAGGAAGAAGUACGUCGGUGGAGCUCCGAGGGGCCCACGAGGCAGGGGAGCGCGCCCUAGGGGGGUGGGCGCGCCCCCACCCUCGUGACCGCCUCGUGGCUUUCUUGACGGAGGGUCCAAGUAUUCUGGGUCUUAUCUGAUGAGAAAAUCACGUUCCCGAAGGUUUCAUUCCGUUUGGACUUCGUUUUAUAUUCUGUUUCCCCGAAACUCUGAAAUAGGCAAAAAACAGCAAUUCUGGGCUAGGCCUCCGGUUAAUAGGUUAGUCCCAAAAAUAAUGUAAAAGUGGAAAAUAAAGCCCAAUAUAGUCCAAAACAGUAGAUAAUAUACCAUGGAGCAAUAAAAAAUUAUAGAUACGUUGGAGACGUAUCACGCAUCCCCAAGCUUAAUUCCUGCUCGUCCUCGAGUAGGUAAAUGAUAAAAAGAGAAUUUUUGAUGCGGAUUGCUACUUGGCAUAAUUUCAAUGCAAAUCUUCUUAAUUGUGGUAUGAAUAUUCAGAUCCAAAAGAUUCAAGACAAAAGUUCAUAUUGACAUAAAAAUUAAUAAUACUUCAAGCAUACUAACAAAGCAAUUAUGUCUUCUCAAAAUAACAUGGCUAAAGAAAGUUAUCCCUACAAAAUCAUAUAGUCUGGCUAUGCUCCAUCUUCACCACACAAAUUAUUUAAAUCAUGCACAACCCCGAUGACAAGCCAAGCAAUUGUUUCAUACUUUAACAUUUUCAAAACUUUUUCAAUCUUCACGCAAUACAUGAGCGUGAGCCAUGGAUAUAUAUCACUAUAUAUGGAAUAGAAUGGUGGUUGUGGAGAAGACAAAAAGAGGGGAAGAUAGUCUCACAUCAACUAGGCAUACCAAUGGGCUAUGGAGAUGCCCAUCAAUAGAUAUUAAUGUGAGUGAGUAGGGAUUGCCAUGCAACGGAUGCACUAGAGCUAUAAGUAUGUGAAAGCUCAACAAAAGAAACUAAGUGGGUGUGCAUCCAACUCGCUUGCUCACAAAGACCUAGGGCUUUUGAGGAAGCCCAUCAUUGGAAUAUACAAGCCAAGUUCUAUAAUGAAAAAUUCUCACUAGUAUAUGAAAGUGACAAGCAUGCUGGCACGCCCCGCCAUGGGCCAAGCACGACACGAGCUAAACAAGCCGUUCCCGACACGCCUUGGGUCAUGCCUAGGCCUAGAGGCGAGGCACGCAGGCCGGCACGGCACGACCCGUUUAUAGGAAAAAUACAUCCUACUACCCGGUGUAGUUACACCCAUGCAGGGACGGAGCCAGGAUUUCGACAUAGGGGGGGCGAGGUUUCACACUAAGUUUCAUGGGCAAUUGCUAUGUUGUAGAAAAUUACGGUCUGGUCCAAUGGAGACGCCAUGUGCAACCAUGCCUAUUUUAUUUAUUAAAUUCAGAUGUAACUUUUUGAGUAGAUGAUUUUUCAUAUAAAAAACUUUUUAAUCCGAGUUCGUAUGCAAAAGUUAUGCCCAUUUUACAAAUUCCACAGAGAUUUUGCAAAUAAAGUUGAAAUUCAUAUUUGUAAAUUUUCCCAACAAGUAGACCACAUAUCACAUGGGAAACUUAUUUUCUUUUAUUUUUUUGAAAUUUCCAUCAUUUUCUUUUAUUUUUUUAACUGAAAAGGCGGUCCACAGGGGGGAGGGCGGGUACAUUCGGUGGAAUUUUUCGACCAAGUUACUAAUGGUGUACCGUGGGAGUGGUGUGCCAUUACUAGUUCAACUAGUAAUGGCGCACCACACACACGGUGCGCCAUUAGUAUUUUUGAAAAAGAAAAAAAUUCCUUAGCCCACACAUGGUGCACCAUUGAUUAGAAUUCUAGUAUCAAUCAAUUCCUUAGCAACAGCAAACACUGAAAUUGUAACCGUAAUACUCUUAAUAGUCAGUCGUUAACCAUCCGAAAUGAGGGACACUCAAAUUCAAGCACCAAUGUAAUCUGAAGCGCCAAUCCAAGUUCGAGAGCAGGGCAGAUUUGCAACAGUUGAGGUAGAAGUGGUGGGCUCAGAUUAGCCUCAACAGUUGAGGUAGUACUAAAGAUACACAUACUCGAAUCCAAAAGGGGGGGCGCUAGAAGUGGUGGGGGGAGGAAGAUACCUGGAGGGGCGACUCUGGUAGCGGGUGGUGCCGGGCGAGGUGACCGGGGGGACGGACGAAGAGCAGGGGUGGCUGGACGGCUGGACGACGGGGCGGUCGGCGAAACCGCUGCGUGACGACGACGCGGAUGGGGCGACGGAGGCGGUUGGGCUCGUAGGCGGAGUUCGAUCUGGGUGGUGGCGAGGUGGAGAUUGCGGAGCAGCCGGGUGGCGGUGGCUGGCAAAGGAGAGACGAGUGAGGGGAGGGAAUGAAAGAAGGGGAAGGAAGGAGCUCAGCACCGCGGAUUGGGCCGAAAAACCUCUCUUCUCUCCGUCCUAGGCCUGGCACCGUGAAGCCCAAUAAGCCCAGAAGAACGCGUCAUUCAUUUCUUCUUUAAGAGAAAAAAAAUCAGGACCUCCUAUUGGGCGCCUGGGGCGCUAGCGAACAUGCCAGCGCGCACAAGAGGGGUUCUUCGCCCCAGUCUUUUAUUCCCUAUUUUUGUUUUUUUAUUAUUUUCCUGUUUUUUCUUCUUUAAAACAAUUAUGUAUAUCAAAAAAGUUCAAAAUUUAAGGAAGGAACUGAAUCUGGGGAAAAUGUUCCAGAAAUCAAUCAUGGUUUUUAAUUCAACAUUUUGAAAAAAAUGUUCGUGAAUUCAAAAUUGUUCAUAAAUUUAAAAAUAAUUUUAGAUAAUUCAAAAUCUGGUGAACACUUUUUGAAGUCGGUGAACAAAAAUUGUAUUCAACAACAUUGUAUUUUGAAAAAUGGAAGAAUUUUUUUGGAAUUAAAUUAACGUUUUUUUGAUAAAUCAAUGAACAAUAUCUGGAUUUGAUAAACAUUUUUUGAAAAAAGAUGAACAAAUUUCGGAUUUGAUAAACAUUUUUUUAUUUUGAUGAAUUAUUUUUUGUAUUUGAUGAAAAAAAUUAAAUUCGAUAAACAUUUUUUACAUUGUUGAAGGAAGGUUCUAGAACCUUUCCAAAAUCGGUUAGUGGUGAAUCCCAAAAAUGGGCCGGCCCAUAGAAAUUCCAGCGCGCGUGGUGGGUCCGUGUAUAGCUAGCCAAACGGGCUGGGCCAAUCAGGCCAGCCCACGAGCAUGCUGGCACGCCCCGCCAUGGGCCAAGCACGACACGUGCUAAACAGGCCGUUCCCGACACGCCUUGGGUCAUGCCUGGGCCUAGAGGCGGGGCAUGCAGGCCGGCACGACACGGCCCGUUUAUAGGAAAAAUACAUCCUACUUCCCGGUGAGUUACACCCACGCAGGGACGGAGCCAGGAUUUUGGCAUAGGGGGGCGAGGUUUCACACUAAGUUUCAUGGGCAACUGCUAUGUUGUAGAAAAUUUAGGGUCUGGUCCAAUGUAUACACCAUGUGCAACCAUGCCUGUUUUAUUUAUUAAAUUCAGAUGUAACUUUUCGAGUAGAUGAUUUUUCAUAUAAAAAACUUUUUAAUCCGAGUUCGUAUGCAAAAGUUAUGCCCAUUUUACAAAUUCCGAAAAGAUUUUGCAAAUAAAGUUGAAAUUCAUAUUUGUAAAUUUCCCAACAAGUAGACCACACAUCACAUGGGAAACUUAUUUUCUUUUAUUUUUUGACAUUUCCAUCAUUUUCUUUUCUUUUUUUAACUGAAAAGGCGGUCCACGGGGGUGGGGGUGCAUUCGGUGGAAUUUUUGAGCCAAGUUACUAAUGGCGCACCGUGGGAGUGGUGCGCCAUUAGUAGUUUUGAAAAAAAAAAUCUUAGCCCACACACGGUGCGCCAUUGAUUAGAAUUGUAGUAUCAAUCAAUUCCUUAGCAACAACAAACACUGAAAUUGCAACCGUAAUACUCUUAAUAGUCAGUCGUUAACCAUCCGAAAUGAGGGACACUCAAAUUCAAGCACCAAUGUAACCUGAAGCGCCGGUCCAAGUUCGAGAGCAAGGCAGAUUUGCAACAGUUGAGGUAGAAGUGGUGGGCUCAGAUUAGCCUCAACAGUUGAGGUAGUACUAAAGAUACGCAUACUGGAAUCCAAAAGGGGGGGGCGCUAGAAGUGGUGGGGGGAGGAAGAUACCUGGAGGGGCGACUCUGGUGGCGGGUGGUGCCGGGCGAGGUGACCGGGGGGACGGAUGAAGAGCAGGGGUGGCUGGACGCGCUGGAUGACGGGGCGGUCGGCGAAACCCGCUGUGCGACGACGACGCGGAUGGGGCGGCGGAGGCGGUUGGGCUCGUCGGCGGAGUUCGAUCUAGGCGGUGGCGAGGUGGAGGUUGCAUAGGAGCCGGGUGGCGGCGGCGGCUGGCAAAGGAGAGACGAGUGAGGGGAGGGAAUGAAAGAAGGGGAAGGAAGGAGCUCGGCACCGCGGAUUGGGCCGAAAAACCUCCCUUCUCUUCGUCCUAGGCCUGGCACCGUGAAGCCCAAUAAGUGUUGGAAAUAUGCCCUAGAGGCAAUGAUAAAAGGAUUAUUUUUAUAUUUCCUUGUUCAUGAUAAUUGUCUUUUAUUCAUGCUAUAAUUGUAUUAUCCGGAAAUCGUAAUACACGUGUGAAUACUUAGACCAUAACAUGUCCCUAGUAAGCCUCUAGUUGACUAGCUCGUUGAUCAACAGAUAGUCAUGGUUUCCUGACUAUGGACAUUGGAUGUCAUUUAUAACGGGAUCACAUCAUUAGGAGAAUGAUGUGAUGGACAAGACCCAAUCCUAAGCAUAGCACAAAGAUCGUGUAGUUCGUUUGCUAGAGCUUCUCCAAUGUCAAGUAUCUUUUCCUUAGACCAUGAGAUCGUGUAACUCCCGGAUACCGUAGGAGUGCUUUGGGUGUACCAAAUGUCACAACGUAACUGGGUGACUAUAAAGGUGCAAUACAGGUAUCUCCGAAAGUGUCUGUUGGGUUGACACAGAUCGAGACUGGGAUUUGUCACUCCGUAUGACGGAGAGGUAUCUCUGGGCCCACUCGGUAAUGCAUCAUCAUAAUGGGCUCAAAGUGACCAAGUGUCUGGUCACGGGAUCAUGCAUUACGGUAUGAGUAAAAGUGACUUGCCGGUAACGAGAUUGAACGAGGUAUUGGGAUACCAUGAUCGAAUCUCGGGCAAGUAACGUACCGAUUGACAAAGGGAAUUGUAUACGGGGUUGCUUAAAUCCUCGACAUCGUGGUUCAUCCGAUGAGAUCAUCGAGGAGUAUGUGGGAGCCAAUAUGGGUAUCCAGAUCCCGCUGUUGGUUAUUGACCGGAGAGCCGUCUCGGUCAUGUCUGCAUGUCUCCCGAACCCGUAGGGUCUACACACUUAAGGUUCGGUGAUGCUAGGGUUGUAUGAAUAUGAGUAUGCAGCAAACCUAAAGUUGUUCGGAGUCUCGGAUGAGAUCUUGGACGUCACGAGGAGUUCCGGAAUGGUCUGGAGGUAAAGAAUUAUAUAUUGGAAGUCGAGUUUCGGCCAUCGGAAAGUUUCGGGGUCCACCGGUAUUGUACCGGGACCACCGGAAGGGUCCCGGGGGUCCACCGGGUGGGGCCACCUAUCCCGGAGGGUCCCAUGGGCUGAAGUGGGAGGGGAACCAGCCCCUAGUGGGCUGGUGCGCCCCCCUGGGCCCCCUCUGCGCCUAGGGUUGGGAACCCUAGGGGAGGGGGCGCCUCCACUUGCCUUGGGGGGCACUCCACCCCCGUUGGUCGCCUCCCCCCUAGAGAUCCCAUCUCUAGGGCCGGCGCCCCCCCUGGGGUCCCUAUAUAAAGAGGGGGGGUGGGAGGGCAGCCGCACCCAACACCCUGGUGCCUCCCUCCCCUCCCUGCUACACCUCUCCCUCCCGUAGUUGCUUGGCGAAGCCCUGCCGGAGCCCUGCUGCAUCCACCACCACGCCGUCAUGCUGCUGAAUCUUCAUCAACCUCUUCUUCCCCCUUGCUGGAUCAAGAAGGAGGAGACGUCACGCUGACCGUACGUGUGUUGAACGCGGAGGUGCCGUCCGUUCGGCGCUAGGAUCUCCGAUGAUUUGGAUCACAACGAGAACGACUCCCUCAACCCCGUUCUCUUGAACGCUUCCGCACGCGAUCUACAAGGGUAUGUAGAUGCAUCUCUCUCUCUCGUUGCUAGAUGAACUCAUAGGUUGAUCUUGGUGAACGUAGAUUUAUUUUAUUUUAUGCAACGUUCCCCAACAGUGGUAUCAGAGCCAGGUCUAUGCGUAGUUCUCUAUUGCACGAGUAGAACACAAACCUGUUGUGGGCGUAGAUCUUGUCAACCUGCUUGCCACUACUAGUCUUAUUUUGCUUCAGCGGUAUUGAGGGAUGAAGCGGCCCGGACCGACCUUACACGUACGCUUACGUGAGACAGGUUCCACCGACUGACAUGCACUAGUUGCAUGAGGUGGCUAGCGGGUGUCUGUCUCUCCCACUUUAGUUGGAGCGGAUUCGAUGAAAAGGGUCCUUAUGAAGGGUAAAUAGAAUUUGACAAAAAAUCACGUUGUGGUUAUUCGUAGGUAAGAAAAUGUUCUUGCUAGAACCCAAUUGCAGCCACGUAAAAGAUGCAACAACAAUUAGAGGACGUCUAACUUGUUUUUGCAGCAAUUGCUAUGUGAUGUGAUAUGGCCAAAAGUUGUGAUGAAUGAUGAAUGAUAUAUUGUGAUGUAUGAGAUCAUGUUCUUGUAAUAGGAAUCACGACUUACAUGUUGAUGAGUAUGACAACCGGCAGGAGCCAUAGGAGUUGUCUUAAUUAUUGUAUGACCUGCGUGUCAAUGAUUUAACGCCAUGUAAUUACUUUAAUUUAUUGCUAAACCGUUAGCCAUAGUAGUAGAAGUAAUAGUUGGCGAGCAACUUCAUGGAGACACGAUGAUGGAGAUCAUGAUGAUGGAGAUCAUGAUGAUGGAGAUCAUGAUGAUGGAGAUCAUGGUGUCAUGCCGGUGACGAAGAUGAUCAUGGAGCCCCGAAAAUGGAGAUCAAAGGAGCUAUAUGAUAUUGGCCAUAUCAUGUCACUACUAUAUAAUUGCAUGUGAUGUUUAUUAUGUUUAUGCAUCUUGUUUACUUAGAACGAUGGUAGUAAAUAAAAUGAUCCCUUAUAAUAAUUUCAAGAAGGUGUUCCCCCUAACUGUGCGCCGUUGCUAAAGUUCGUCGUUUCGAAGCACCACGUGAUGAUUGGGUGUGAUAGAUCCUUACGUUCACAUACAAUGGGUGUAAGACAGUUUUACACAUGCAAAACACUUAGGGUUAACUUGACGAGCCUAGAAUGUACAGACAUGGCCUCGAAACACAGAGACCGAAAGGUCGAACAUGAGUCGUAUGGAAGAUACGAUCAACAUGGAGAUGUUCACCGAUGAUGACUAGUCCGUCUCACGUGAUGAUCGGACACGACCUAGUCGACUCGGAUCAUGUAACACUUAGAUGACUAGAGGGAUGUCAAAUCUGAGUGGGAGUUCAUUAAAUAAUUUGAUUAGAUGAACUUAAUUAUCAUGAACUUAGUCUAAAAUCUUUGCAAAAUAUGUCUUGUAGAUCAAAUGGCCAACGCUCAUGUCAACAUGAACUUCAACGCGUUCCUAGAGAAAACCAAGCUGAAAGAUGAUGGUAGCAACUAUACGGACUGGGUCCAGAACCUAAGGAUCAUCCUCAUAGCUGCCAAGAAAGUAUAUGUCCUAGAAGGACCGCUAGGUGAAGCACCCAUCCCAGAGAACCAAGACGUUAUGAACGCUUGGCAGUCAUGUGCUAAUGAUUACUCCCUCGUUCAGUGCGGCAUGCUUUACAGCUUAGAACCGGGGCUCCAAAAGCGUUUUGAGCAACACGGAGCAUAUGAGAUGUUCGAGGAGCUGAAAAUGGUUUUCCAAGCUCAUGCCCGGGUCGAGAGAUAUGAGGUCUCCGACAAGUUCUAUAGUUGUAAGAUGGAGGGAAAUAGUUCUGUCAGUGAGCACAUACUCAAAAUGUCUGGGUUGCACAACCGCCUGUCCCAGCUGGACAUUAACCUCCCGGACAAGGCGGUCAUUGACAGAAUCCUUCAGUCGCUCCCGCCAAGCUACAAGAGUUUUGUGAUGAACUACAAUAUGCAGGGGAUGGUGAAAACUAUUCCUGAAGUAUUUUCAAUGAUGAAGUCAGCAGAGGUAGAAAUCAAGAAGGGUAUGUAGAUGCAUCUCUCUCUCUCGUUGCUAGAUGAACUCAUAGAUUGAUCUUGGUGAACGUAGAAUUUUUUUUAUUUUAUGCAACGUUCCCCAACAAUAAGCCCAGAAGAACGCGUCAUUCAUUUCUUCUUUAAGAGAAAAAAAAAUUGGGACCUCCUACUGGGCGCCUGGGGCGCUGGCGAACAUGCCAGCGCGCACAAGCGGGGUUCUUCGCACCAGUCUUUUUAUUCCGUAUUUUUGUUUUUUUAUUAUUUUCUCGUUUUUUCUUCUUUAAAACAAUUAUGUAUAUCAAAAAAGUUCAAAAUUUAAGGAAAGAACUGAAUCUGGGGAAAAUGUUCCAGAAAUCAUAACAUGUUCAUGGUUUUUGAUUCAACAUUUUGAAAAAAAUGUUCAUGUGUUUAAAAAAUGUUCGUGAAUUCAAAAUUGUUCAUAAAUUUAAAAACAAUUUUAGAUAAUUCAAAAUCUGGUUAACACUUUUUGAAGUCGGUGAACAAAAAUUGUAUUCAACAACAUUGUAUUUUGAAAAAUGGAAGAAAUUUUUUGGAAUUAAAUUAACGUUUUUUGAUAAAUCAAUGAACAAUAUCUGGAUUUGAUAAACAUUUUUUGAAAAAAGAUGAACAAAUUUCGAAUUUGAUAAACAUUUUUUCAUUUUGAUGAAUUGUUUUUUGUAUUUGAUGAAAAAAAUUAAAUUCGAUAAACAUUUUUUACAUUGUUGAAGGAAGGUUCUAGAACCUUCCCAAAAUCGGUUAGUGGUGAAUCCCAAAAAUGGGCCGGCCCAUAGAAAUUCUAGCGCGCGUGGUGGGUCCAUGUAUAGCUAGCCAAACGGGUUGGGCCAAUCAGGCCAGCCCAUGAGCAUGCUGUCACGCCCCGCCAUGGGCCAAGCACGACACGGGCUAAACAGGUCGUUCCCGACACGCCUUAGGUCAUGCCUGGGCCUAGAGGCGGGGCACGCAGGCCGGCACGACACAACCCGUUUAUAGGAAAAAUACAUCCUACUACCCGGUGUAGUUACACCCACGCAGGGACGGAGCUAGGAUUUUGCCAUAGGGGGGGCGAGGUUUCACACUAAGUUUCAUGGGCAACUGAUAUGUUGUAGAAAAUUUAGGGUCUGGUCUAAUGGAGACGCCAUGUGCAACCAUGCCUGUUUUAUUUAUUAAAUUCAGAUAUAACUUUUCGAGUAGAUGAUUUUUCAUAUAAAAAACUUUUUAAUCCGAGUUCGUAUGCAAAAGUUAUGCCCAUUUUACAAAUUCCAGAAAGAUUUUGCAAAUAAAGUUGAAAUUCAUAUUUGUAAAUUUUCCCAACAAGUAGACCACAUAUCACAUGGGAAACUUAUUUUCUUUUAUUUUUUCUGAAAUUUCCAUCAUUUUCUUUUAUUUUUUAACUGAAAAGGCGGUCCACGGGGGUGGGGGUGCAUUUGGUGGAAUUUUUGGGCCGAGUUACUAAUGGCGCACCAUGGGAGUGGUGCGCCAUUACUAGUUCAACUAGUAAUGGCGCACCACACACACGGUGCGCCAUUAGUAGUUUUGAAGAAAAAAAUUCUUUAGCCCACACACGGUGCGUCAUUGAUUAGAAUUGUAGUAUCAAUCAAUUCCUUAGCAACAACAAACACUGAAAUUGCAACCGUAAUACUCUUAAUAAUCAGUCGUUAACAUUUUUUGAAAAUAAAAAAAUGUUUAUCAAAUUCGAAAUUUGUUCAUCUUUUUUCAAAAAAUGUUUACCAAUUUCAAAAAAUGUUAACGACUGACUAUUAAGAGUAUUACGGUUGCAAUUUCAGUGUUUGUUGUUGCUAAGGAAUUGAUUGAUACUAGAAUUCUAAUCAAUGGCGCAUCGUGUGUGGGCUAAGGAUUUUUUUUCAAAACUACUAAUGACGCACCGUGUGUGUGGUGCGCCAUUACUAGUUGAACUAGUAAUGGCACACCACUCCCACGGUGCGCCAUUAGUAACUUGGCCCAAAAAUUCCACCGAAUGCACCCCCCUGGACCGCCUUUUCAGUUUUAAAAAAAUAAAAGAAAAUGAUGUAAAUGUUAAAAAAAUAAAAGAAAAUAAGUUUCCAUGUGAUAUGUGGUCUACUUGUUGGGAAAAUUUACAAAUAUGAAUUUCAACUUUAUUUGCAAAAUCUCUCUGGAAUUUGUAAAAUGGGCAUAACUUUUGCAUACGAACUCGGAUUAAAAAGUUUUUUAUAUGAAAAAUCAUCUACUCGAAAAGUUACAUAUGAAUUUUAUAAACAAAAAAGGCAUGGUUGCGUCUUCAUUGGACCAGGCAUAAAUUUUCUACAACAUAGCAGUUGCCCAUGAAACUUAGUGUGAAACCUCGCCCCCCUAUGUCAAAAUCCUGGCUCCGUCCCUGCGUGGGUGUAACUACACCGGGUAGUAGGAUGUAUUUUUCCUAUAAACGGGUCGUUCCUUGCCGGCCUGCGUGCCCCGCCUCUAGGCCCAGGCAUGACCCAAGGCGUGCCGGGAACGGCCUGUUUAGCCCGUGUCGUGCUUGGCCCAUGGCAGGGCGUGCCAGCAUGCUCGUGGGCUGGCCUGAUUGGCCCAACCCGUUUGGCUAGCUAUACACGGACCCACCACGCGCGCUGGAAUUUCUAUGGGCCGGCCCAUUUUUGGGAUUCACCACUAACCGAUUUUGGGAAGGUUCUAGAACCUUCCUUCAACAAUGUAAAAAAUGUUUAUCGAAUUUAAUUUUUUUCAUCAAAUACAAAAAACAAUUCAUCAAAAUAAAAAAAUGUUUAUCAAAUUUGAAAUUUGUUCAUCGUUUUUCAAAAAAUGUUUAUCAACUCCAGAUAUUGUUCAUUUAUUUAUCAAAAAACAUUAAUUUAUUCCAAAAAAAUUCUUCCAUUUUUCAAAAUACAAUGUUGUUGAAUACAAUUUUUGUUCACCGACUUCAAAAAGUGUUCACCAGAUUUUGAAUUAUCUAAAAUUGUUUUUAAAUUUAUGAAUAAUUUUGAAUUCACGAACAUUUUUUAAACAUGUGAACAUUUUUUUUCAAAAUGUUGAAUUAAAAAGAAAAAAUUUUGAACAUUUUUUAUAUACAUAAUUGUUUUCAAAAAGAAAAAACAGGAAAAUAAUAAAAAAACAAAAAUACGGAAUAAAAAGACUGGGGCGAAGAACCCCGCUUGUGCGCGCUGGCAUGUUCGCAAGUGCCCCAGGCGCCCAAUAGGAGGUCCCGAUUUUUUUUCUCUUAAAGAAGAAAUGAAUGACGUGUUCUUCUGGGCUUAUUGGGCUUCACGGUGCUAGGCCUAGGACGAAGAGAAGAGAGGUUUCCUUCCUUCCCCUUCUUUCAUUCCCUUCCCUCGCUCAUCUCUCCUUUGCCAGCCGCCGCCGCCGCCGCUCGGCUCCUCCGCAACCUCCACCUCGCCAUCGCCCAGAUCGAACUCCGCCGACGAGCCCAACCGCCUCCGCCGCCCCAUCCGCGCCGUUGUCGCGCAGCGGGUUUCGCCGACCGCCCCGUCGUCCAGCGCGUCCAGCCACCCCUGCUCUUCGUCCGUCCCCUCGGUCACCUCGCCCGGCACCACCCGCCACCAGAGUCGCCCUUCCAGGUAUCUUCCUCCCCCCACCACUUCUAGCGCCCCCUUUGGAUUCUAGUAUGCGUAUCUUUAGUACUACCUCAACUGUUGAGGCUAAUCUGAGCCCACCACUUCUACCUCAAAUGGGCAUAACUUUUGCAUACGAAGUCGGAUCAAAAAGUUUUUUAUAUGAAAAAUCAUCUACUCGAAAAGUUACAUCUGAAUUAAAUGGGGGAACCUUGUUAAACAUUUUCAAAAUCCCCAAAAACCUAGCAGAAAAAAGUUACGGGGCUUUCAAGAUCUAGAGGCAAAAAAAUUCAAAAAAUUUCAAACUUACUAGUGGCGCACUGUUUGCUAGAUGCGCCACUAGUAACAGAAAAAAAUUAGUUUCAAAAAGAAAUUCGAUUUUUUUUUCAAAAUAUGAUACGUAAUAUGACCGGGAAGUUUGAAAUAUUUUUUCAAAAUUUCAUCAUACUCAUGAACAUGAACAAAGACCUAGACAUCAACAAGGUUUAAUAGGAUUGAUAUGAUAGAUAUAUCAACAAGUGCUUGUGAAGUGAGCUGGUGCUGGGGUUGGAUAGAACUGUGAAGUUAAGCAUGCUCGGGCUGGAGUAGUGUGAGGAUGGGUGACCUUCCGGAAAAUUUGACCACAAAGUGCGAUUUGACUUGAGAUUAAGCAUAUUAACCUGAGAUUAAGCCAUAAUGACCAGAGAUUAAGAAAAAAACGAAAUAAAAAAUUGAAAAAAAAUUGAAAAAAAAUUCUAAAAAAAAUGUUACUAAUGGCGCACUUCUAUGUGGUGCACCAUUAGUAUACCAGAUACUAGUGCGCCACUAGCAGUCCUUUUUCUAGUAGUGUGUUUUUUAUUCCGUAUGAACUAUACCUGUAUGGGAUGUUUUUAAUGAAAAAGGGUGCUUGCCGGGUUCUUUGUGUGUGAGCGCGGACCAUGCCAAGGAAUGAAUCCAUCUUAUUUUUAAGGUAAACACUGUCGCCCGGCAACAGGCCUUGCCGUCCCUUUACUUCAGCCGACCAUCCUCGCGCUCAUGGCGGAGGUAGGUGAUACAUCUCCGUUAUUCUACAACUUUCGCAUAAUUUUGAUUGUUCCAUGCCAAUAUUCUACAACUUUCACAUACUUUUGGCAACCUUUUAUACUAUUUUUGGGACUAAAAUAUUGAUCCAGUGCGCAGUGUCAGUUCCUGUUUGUUGGAUGUUUUAUGUUUCGCAGAAACCCCAUAUCAAAUGGAAUCCAAAUGGAAUAAAACGGUCGGAGAAUAUUUUUGGAAUAUUUGGAGAAUAUGGGAAGAAGAAUCAACAUGAGACGGUGCCCGAGGUGGCCACGAGGCAGGGGGCGCACCCGCCCCCCUGGGCGCGCCCCUGACCCUGGUGGGCCACCUGUAAGGCGGUUGCUGCUCUUCUUCGACCGCAAGUAAGCUAAUUUUCGGAGAAAAAAUCUGGGAAAAGGUUUCAAUCCAAUCAGAGUCACGGAUCUCCAUAUAUAUACGAAACAGUGAAAGGGCAGAGCACGGGAACGCAGAAACAGAGAGAAACAGAGAGACAGAUCCAAUCUCGGAGGGGCUCUCGCCCCUCCCAUGCCAUGGAGGCCAAGGACCAUAGGGGAAACCCUUCUCGCAUCUAGGGAGGAGGUCAAGGAAGAAGAAGAAGAAGGGGGCCCCUCUCCCCCACUCUUUUGGUGGUGCCGGAACGCUGCCGUCGCCACCAUCAUCAUCACCGCGAUCUUCACCAACACCUCCGCCAUCUUCACCAAUAUCUCCAUCACCUUCCCCCCUCUAUCUACAGCGGUCCACUCUCCCGCAACCCGUUGUACCCUCUACUUGAACAUGGUGCUUUAUGCUUCAUAUUAUUAUCCAAUGAUGUGUUGCCAUCCUAUGAUGUCUGAGUAGAUUUUCGUUAUCCUAUUGGUGGUUGAUGAAUUGCUAUGAUUGAUUUAAUUUGCUUGUGGUUAUGUUUAUGUCCUUUGGUGCCCAUCAUAUGAGAGCGCGCGUGGAUCACACCAUAAGGUUAGCUGUAUGUUGAUAGGACUAUGUAUUGGAGGGCAAGAGUGACAGAAGCUUCUACCUAGCAUAGAAAUUGAUGCAUACGAGAUUGAAGGGGGGCCAAUAUAUCUUAAUGCUAUGGUUGGGUUUUACCUUAAUGAACGUUAGUAUUUGCGGAUUCUUGCUAAUAGUUCCAAUCAUAAGUGCAUAGAAUUCCAAGUCAGGGAUGACAUGCUAGCAGUGGCCUCUCCCACAUAAAACUUGCUAUCGGUCUAGUAAAGUAGUCAAUUGCUUAGGGACAAUUUCGCAACUCUUACCACCACUUCUCCACACUCGCUAUAUUUACUUUAUUGAGUCUUUAUCUAAACAGCCCCUAGCUUUUAUUUACGUGCUCUUUAUUUUCUUGCAAACCUAUACAAAAACACCCACAAAGUACUUCUAGUUUCAUACUUGUUUUAGGUAAAGCGAACGUUAAGCGUGCGUAGAGUUGUAUCGAUGGUCGAUAGAACUUGAGGGGAUAUUUGUUCUACCUUUAGCUCCUCGUUCGGUUCGACACUCUUACUUAUCGAAAGAGGCUACAGUUGAUCCCCUAUACUUGUGGGUUAUCAAGACCUUUUCCUGGCGCUGUUGCCGGGGAGUCAUAGCGUGGGGUGAAUAUUCUCGUGUGUGCUUGUUUGCUUUAUCACUAAGUAAUUUUUAUUUGCCGUUCUUAGUUGUUUUCUAUCUUUAGUUAUGGGUAGGAAACGCAAAAUACCAAAAAAAAA
RNAcentral lists this long non-coding RNA (22458 nucleotides) under Triticum aestivum (bread wheat). Its description in RNAcentral is "long non-coding RNA (TAES_LNC007833)". Lineage: Eukaryota; Viridiplantae; Streptophyta; Magnoliopsida; Poales; Poaceae. The record is from RNAcentral.